This 336-nucleotide unclassified non-coding RNA is filed under the name soil metagenome. Its description in RNAcentral is "partial contains 5.8S ribosomal RNA, internal transcribed spacer 2, and large subunit ribosomal RNA". The stretch from base 5 to 119 matches the Rfam family "5.8S ribosomal RNA", at positions 40 to 154 of the family's 154-position model. The record is from RNAcentral.
GAUGAGAACGCAGCGAAAUGCGAUAAGUAAUGUGAAUUGCAGAAUUCAGUGAAUCAUCGAAUCUUUGAACGCACAUUGCGCCCGCCAGUAUUCUGGCGGGCAUGCCUGUUCGAGCGUCAUUUCAACCAUCAAGCCCCCCGGCUUGUGUUGGGGACCUGCGGCUGCCGCAGGCCCUGAAAAGCAGUGGCGGGCUCGCUGUCACACCGAGCGUAGUAGAUCUCAUCUCGCUCAGGGCGUGCUGCGGGUUCCGGCCGUUAAACCACCUUCAUAACCCAAGGUUGACCUCGGAUCAGGUAGGAAGACCCGCUGAACUUAAGCAUAUCAAUAAGCGGAGGA